GUGGGGAAUCUUAGACAAUGGGGGAAACCCUGAUCUAGCCAUGCCGCGUGAUCGAUGAAGGCCUUAGGGUUGUAAAGAUCUUUCAGGUGGGAAGAUAAUGACUGUACCACCAGAAGAAGCCCCGGCUAACUCCGUGCCAGCAGCCGCGGUAAUACGGAGGGGGCUAGCGUUGUUCGGAAUUACUGGGCGUAAAGCGCACGUAGGCGGAUUGGAAAGUUGGGGGUGAAAUCCCGGGGCUCAACCCCGGAACUGCCUUCAAAACUCCCAGUCUUGAGUUCGAGAGAGGUGAGUGGAAUUCCGAGUGUAGAGGUGAAAUUCGUAGAUAUUCGGAGGAACACCAGUGGCGAAGGCGGCUCACUGGCUCGAUACUGACGCUGAGGUGCGAAAGCGUGGGGAGCAAACAGGAUUAGAAACCCCGGUAGUCC
Molecule: ribosomal RNA, 425 nt
Filed under: uncultured bacterium
Lineage: Bacteria
Description: bacterial SSU rRNA
Rfam family: Bacterial small subunit ribosomal RNA
Source: RNAcentral